AUACGUAGGGGGCGAGCGUUGUCCGGAAUUACUGGGCGUAAAGGGUGCGUAGGUGGCACUUUAAGUCUGAUGUGAAAGCCCACGGCUCAACCGUGGUGGGUCAUUGGAAACUGGGGGACUUGAGUGCAGAAGAGGAAAGUGGAAGUCCAAGUGUAGCGGUGAAAUGCGUAGAGAUUUGGAGGAACACCAGUGGCGAAGGCGACUUUCUGGUCUGUAACUGACGCGGAGGCGCGAAAGCGUGGGGAGCAAACAGGAUUAGAUACCCUGGUAGUCCACGCCGUAAACGAUGAGUGCUAAGUGUUAGGGGGUUUCCGCCCCUUAGUGCUGCAGCUAACGCAUUAAGCACUCCGCCUGGGGAGUACGGUCGCAAGACUGAAACUCAAAGGAAUUGGCGGGG
Molecule: ribosomal RNA, 397 nt
Filed under: uncultured bacterium
Lineage: Bacteria
Description: partial 16S ribosomal RNA
Rfam family: Bacterial small subunit ribosomal RNA
Source: RNAcentral